This 253-nucleotide ribosomal RNA is filed under the name uncultured bacterium. RNAcentral describes it as "partial 16S ribosomal RNA". It matches the Rfam family "Bacterial small subunit ribosomal RNA", at positions 524 to 776 of the family's 1533-position model. The record is from RNAcentral.
UACGGAGGGUGCAGGCGUUAUCCGGAUUCACUGGGUUUAAAGGGUGCGUAGGUGGGCAGGUAAGUCAGUGGUGAAAUCUCCGGGCUUAACCCGGAAACUGCCAUUGAUACUAUCUGUCUUGAAUAUCGUGGAGGUGAGCGGAAUAUGUCAUGUAGCGGUGAAAUGCUUAGAUAUGACAUAGAACACCAAUUGCGAAGGCAGCUCACUACGCGAAUAUUGACACUGAGGCACGAAAGCGUGGGGAUCAAACAGG